AAAGCUGGCAAAAAGAAUAGAAAAAAGCUUGAGUACAAUCAUUGUUCCGGAUCUCGAUCAUUUGUUGCAACAAUGACUAUACCGAAUUCUAUAAGAAAACUCAUACCAAGAAGAACAAAGAGUGGAUUGAUCCUAUUUG
This is a non-coding RNA of Phoenix dactylifera (date palm), 139 nucleotides long. NCBI's taxonomy places the organism in Eukaryota, Viridiplantae, Streptophyta, Magnoliopsida, Arecales, Arecaceae. The record is from RefSeq and is a predicted model, not a curated record.